This 906-nucleotide ribosomal RNA is filed under the name Helicarion mastersi. RNAcentral's name for it is "partial 16S ribosomal RNA". Lineage: Eukaryota; Metazoa; Mollusca; Gastropoda; Stylommatophora; Helicarionidae. The record is from RNAcentral.
UGAGUUAAGUAUUAAGUGUAUAUAUCAUUUACAAUGAUAAGGUCUACUAAAGUAGAAUUCAUAAAUAUAAGGUUAUACUGUAAAGGUUAUAUUAAUUAUUAAAGUUUAAAUACCUUUUGCAUAAUGGUUUAACAAAUAUAUAAUAAAUUUAUUUUACCCGAAGUUAGAGGAUCUAAUUUUUGUAAGUUUAUAGAAUAUAAUUUAAUAAUGUUUCAAAAUUAUAAUUAUAACAUAAAUUAGUGGUGAAAGGCCUAUCAAUUCUAAAAAUAUCUGGAAUAAUUUUAAAUGUAUUUAGUACAGAAUAAAAUUUAAUUAAAAAAAUGUUAAGAUUUUUUUAAUAAAGAAUUAUAAUUAUAUAAAAACUACGGGUUAACCCUCGAUUAAAUUAAUUUAUUAAUAAUUAUAAAUUAUUUAAAUCUUUAUUAUAAAAUUAUAUUUUAAAUAUCCUAUUUUAAAUUUAAUUAUGUUAAAAUUAGUAUAAAAUUUAAUAUUUACUUAAGGAACUCGGCUAAUUAUUAUUCAUCUGUUUAUCAAAAACAUAGUCUUAUGAAUAAAUAUAAGAUACUACCUGCCCAAUGAUUAUUUAAAUGGCCGCAGUACUUUGACUGUGCUAAGGUAGCAUAAUAAAUUGACUCUUAAUUAGGGCCUUGAAUGAAAGGAAUUAUGGAUAAUUUCUGUCUCAAAGUAAAUAAAUUUAAAGUUACUUAAAAGGUGAAAAUUCCUUUAAUUCCAUAAAAUAGACGAGAAGACCCUAGGAGUUAUUUUUUUUGUUGGGGCGACAGUAUAGCAAUAAUAACCUAUAUACAUAUUAAUUUUAAUAAAACGAUAAAAUUUUAAUAAUAAAUUAACUACCCUAGGGAUAACAGCAUAAUUUAAAAAUUUUAAGUUUGUGACCUCGAUGUUGGA